RNAcentral lists this unclassified non-coding RNA (220 nucleotides) under Hevea brasiliensis (rubber tree). Lineage: Eukaryota; Viridiplantae; Streptophyta; Magnoliopsida; Malpighiales; Euphorbiaceae. The record is from RNAcentral.
GGAGAAACGCGAGGGAAAUUAAAAGAUGUAAAAGCUGUAUAAAAAGAUUGAACUAUAGCCUUGGAAAACCACACCAUACACCAUUUAUUGCAGCUAGAAUCAUGAGAGCUUCAAACAUCCAUGUCGCCCUCCUACUUUUAUUGGCAUUGGUUGCGAGUGAACCUAGCCAUGCCUUCGACCUUGUCCCAAAGUUUCAUGUCAAUGUUUUCAAUGACCUGAG